UAUUUUCUGUAAAAAGAAUAAAAUAUAUAUUAAAACAAUUAUUGUAAAUAUCGAAUAGAGUUAGUGGUAUUCGUGUGUAAAUAUAGUUGUUUCUCGAAUAGUAAUCAGCCUAAUUAUUCUUAAUUUAAAUAAAUGAUCAUCAAAGUUCUCACGCAAACAAAAAGAGGAAGACGAUGAUGAUGAUGAUGAUGAUGAUGAUGAUGAUGAUGAUGAUGAUCCGCUAAUACAGUAGCUUCGCCUAAGGACGCCUUUAAUGAAGUUCAUUUAAAUCGAACGGCAUUAAAAGCAGUAGCAUGCUCGUUUUGAAUGGAGCUAUUGAAUACAAAUCGGUGUUUACAUCGAAACGAAUUUGUGACGGCGCUAUUUUCUCGGUCAAAUUUUCACCUCGGGCUAAUUAGUUGUAACAGUUAUCCAAACCGUAGUAGGAAAUGAGUUUUAUCAUUGUGAAAAAUUGAAAAUUCUAUUCCAUUUCUCAAAAUAUAAACGUAUAUAUUUUAUCUUGGCAUAAAUGUUUUUUCUAGUAGAGAAAAUGAGUUUUGUACAAUAAAUAGUCGGCGCGUGAUUCGCCGCUAUCUUCAUUCGGACAUCCUGACGUCAAUGCAUUUCAAUAUUUUUCCAUGUACUGCUUUUAAUAGAGGAAACGCGAAUUUAAAAAAAAAAAAAAAAGAGACGCCACAAUAACCAUUAAUUUAACAACGUUUCAGUUGGCAGCGAUUUGGCGCACAGGCGCACACAGAGUUACUAUACAGGCGUAUAGACGAAUACGCGAAUACGUAAUCUCGGUAGGAAACGGAUUUUUUCCGCGCGGCGCGCGGACUGUCGAAGCGAUAGGGCGCAUGUAUGUAUGCACGUAUGCUCGCGAGUGCGACCGCAAUCUGUUAUCCGUAUCUGCUGCCAGAUGCCAAACGCUUCGCACCAGCAAGUUUACACGCGCGGUGCAGCUAAUUGCGGUAAUCUAGCUUAAUGUACUGGAGAGAAGUAGUUUCGGCUAGCCGACGGGGCGAUUGUUGCCAGAGAUGAAGCGUCAGCGCCACACCGAAUUUCCCAUUACGUGCCUAAUCCACGUAAGCGGAUGAGUAUAGCGAAUAUCGCGUACAGCGACUCGCGCACGUGAUAUGACGUAACGUAAAAGCGCAACGGGAAAAGAUUUUCAACGGGAGUUACGAAGCGGCAGCGACGAUAAAACGUCCGUCGCUGCCGCGCCGAGGACGAGAGACGACACACGAGUCCGCUCGCGCUUCGGCCAUGAAAGGGAACUUUGAGGGGAGAACCUGUUUUUGUGGCGUACGAGGGAAGUUAAUCCGUCCCGUUGUACGAAGACCCUGAGUCGACCGAGUCGACAGCCAGGCAGCAGCCACCACCCCCAAAGGGCCUGCGCCGCUGCGCUGGCCUGCGCGCGACAAGAUAAUACGAAUAAAACGCGAUUAUCCCCGUUGAACGAUGAGGAAACCGUCGCGAGCCAUUGGAUAUUCAAACGCAAUUUCUAUUGUCUCUCUGCGUUUACGCGUUUCGACCGUCGCCGCGCGCGUCGCGUCGUGAUUCUUGAGAAAGAAGCAUUUUACAAGCGACGACGUACCGUUAAUUCAGCAAUUUAACGAUAUAAUUAAUAACGUUAUAUAUCCCCAAAUGGGGCGCUAUUAAUUGCCACGGGAGACCAAAUUACGUCUCAUUAUUGCUACAUCUGCAAUUUGCGCGAGAGGCCAAGCAUGAUUAUUAACGCGUUGCAGUGUAAUUACUAAUAUAUUUCAGGUUACAAUAUUAAAGCCAACGCGAUUAAUCAUGGAGGGCAAACUAAUUAUUCGUUAUGUUACGAUGCAUAAUUGAUAUCGAAUCACUAUUGGAAAUCAAAUGUGCAUGUAACGUACGUUUAUGGUUAGCGCGAGAUCGAAAAUCGCACUUGACCCAACGUCAACUUUUCAUCCCGCUGCAAAUGUAUAUAAUAUCGUAGCUGCGAGACACAUCUUGAUUAGUAUCGAUAGUUUGGAACUGAAAUUUUAUCGAUCUUAUUCGCGUCGACUUGAAAUCGUCUCGCGAAACAUUUAAUAUCUGUGACAAUUUUUCACGGGGUUACCGGAUUAUUGUGUUUCUCGCCUAGAACGCUAUUCCUCUUUCGCAACCGGUUCCGAGAGAGGAGACCGCGCCGCACGCACACACACACACACACACACACACACACACACACACACACACACACACACACACACACGAUCCGUGCCUUUGACGAGCGCGACACGCGUGCAGCUGUGGAGACGUUCUCUAUUUCAGGAAAUACGAGAACGUACGUGCGCUAUAUUGUUUCGCGUUCCCUCCUUCUAUUUUCUUUUCUUUUCUUUUAUAAGCGACAUCUCUGCGACGAUCGCAACUUCGUAUUCUUCGCCCCCUUCGAACGCAACGUGAAAUCCGCGCGACUGCACGCGAGGUAGUAAAUUUUUAUUGAAGCAAUAUUUCGCAGUCGCUGCGCAAUUUGCGCCGCCAGGGAAUAUCAUAAAACUGGAGAUCUAUAAACUUGGCGAUAGUCAAAGGUAAUCUUUUCGCGUUAUGACGCGAGAGCGGAUCUUAAACCGAAGCGUUUAGCUAAACACGAUGAAAUCGGAGAUUAUGGUGUUUCAUUGUUCGAGUGCAGUUGUUUCUCACGUUUUAAGUGUACCGAGAAGAACAUAAUAAAAUUUCCGAAUCACGAGUUUCAGUUUGCCGAAUCGAUAUUAAUCGUUGUCGAAGAAGAAGUAACGAAUGCGAUAUGAGAAACGAGUCUAAAUAUUCGAACGAAAUAUAUCGCGCUAGGCGCGGGUCGUGAAUUGCCUUUUACCGGAUGGCAGCUGGCAAGGGCCAGAUGUUGGUCGUUAAUGGACUGUGCGGGUCUCAAAGUGGCACCAGACAUGAUUCCCUCUCUGUCCCCCCUCGACUGCCUAAAGUUCGUCUACGAGACAAAAGACCGACGGAUCUCUCGCCGGAAAUAAGAGAACGAGAAAAUCGUUUGGAUGAAAAAAAAAAAGAAAAAAAAAAACGCGCAGUAUCUCACUCGUGAUUCAUCGAUCGCCUAGCAGUCUUGGAGUAAUCUCAUCGCGAUUAUCGUUCGCGAUAGCGUUUCGAGCGCGAAAAUGUUAAUUAACUUCCUAGUAAAGUCACUGUUACGAAAGAAGCAAACGUUCGAUGGAACAUCAACGCACACCGUUGGUCAAUUUUUAAACAGAUAUUUACAUUGACGUAUUCUCUUUGAAGAUACAAACAAAGCGAUUAUCUCUUCUCCGCUUCUCCCUUUUCACGACAUUCUUUUGUGAAUGUCCUCUCGCACAAGAGAAGGACGUAGCUGUAAAGCUCUCGUUCUUCUUUCCAGCGAUUACGCGCGUGAAUGUGAAUAAAGAAUGACUAUACGUUUUAACUCGGCGACUAUAUAUAUGGCGCAAUAAUUCACAAUUCGCUACGCUACCUCCGCAUUUUACGUCUACGUUCACGUUCGCUUAUUCCAUCUUAAUUAUCAAUCGCGAAAUAUUAAUCUAAAGAGAGAAGGAACGCAGAGCACUUAAUCCGAUAUUCUAUCGAGUAUCCGAACCGUGGUCGGCCACAUGACGCGCGAUGUGGAAUCGAGAGAUAACAAAAUCGACAAAAUCCACAAAAUUCUACCAGCAAUAAUUCUCUCUCGCUAAACAAACCGCGCGAUUCCUAUUUAUUCAAGAACCGUAACAUCUUUACCGCCGCGCGCCGCAAUUUCGUUACACAAAAAAGAUUGGAAAAUCUACUAUACGCUUUUAGCGAAUGCGAUCCGGGAGGUGAGCAGCUGAUAUCGACACGAUGAAAGAUUGCGCAUGGUGCGCGGUUCGUGCCCCAGGUGUUCAACGAAGAUUAUUACAUAUUCUAGAGAUAAAAAAAAAAGAGCGCGGUAACGCGUUUAUGAGCUGUUGCAGGUUUCGGAGCUCAGCAACGGCCGCGCCGCUCGCUGACCAGCUUUUCCAGCUUAGUGGCUUAUAACUUGUUAAUUUAGGACAAAUCAAGCGUAAUUUUGCGAAGCGGCCAAAGCAGAGGAGAGGACGGAGCUUCAUCGAGGUGGAUGCAAUUUUUAUAACGAAAAGAUACGCGAGGCACCUGCAAAAAGCAUCGAAUGCUAUAUCGGAGGAUCGUUCGUCGGAACAGCGACAAACUAGCGCGGCUAGUUUCGCGAGCAACUUAUUCUUCUAACGACGUUUUAUUUUUAAUUUAUGUGAGAGUUCGUUGCAGUCGGUCAUAGUUACCUUCGAACAUACGCUCGAAUCGCGGCUAGUUCGUGGGCAAAGUGGACAUAAGUUUUAUCCGUCGUGUAGCAACGGAUAUACUUCAAUGUGUAACUUGUGUAACUUUGAGAUACGAGGCGAAAAAAAAAAAUAAAAAGAAAAAAAAUCGAUCGUAAUUUUUGGCUCUAUCGCGAAAGAAGGCUCGUCGACGGGCGGUUCUUUCCGCCGAUAUCCUUGUGCCGUGCCCAUAACUGGGCUGGUACCCACGACUAUACUAUUUACUCCCUACGUGCACGAAGUGCAUCGAUGCUUACACGCAUGCUGGCGAUCGAUGCGUGGAGCCUGGGGAGAGAGGUGGAGUGGCAGUGGCGUGGUGAUGAUGAUGGUGGUGGUGGUGGUGGUGGUGAUGGUGGUGGUGGUAGUGGUAGUGGUGAGGUCACGCCGGGUAGGCGAGGGGCGAAGGGACACAAAUAAAACGAGACUCGCGGAGACAGCUGGUCGUUCUGCCCUCGGGACAAACAACGAACCCACAUGACGCAAAUGCGCGCACACACACGCACGUACGUCCGCGCGAUGUGUUUCACGCAUAACUGCAGGCACGCAUACUGAUGGGCCGGCUCUCCGGACUCCGGACGACCGUACACAUCGGUGUAUCGAUACGGAACCGGCUUGCGCGAUUUUCCGAGCGCAGAGCGCCAAACGCCGCUCGGAACACCACGACGCGGGCCACAUGGGCUGCAGGUCGAAAGCUUGCAAGGCGAGAAAAACAUGCGAAACGAGGCCGGUUGGCGCAGGAUGAAGCACGCUUAUUAGUAGAACGAGGCCAGAUCAACGAGGCCGAAGGAACUUCUUUAUCGCUCUUCCUUCAAAAAUACAUCGCGUCGUAUCGUUAAAACACUUGAUGCACUUGGUUUGUUUUAUUAAAUCGCGUGUCGUCGACUUCAACCCUGCAAAAUCCCGGAUAAGUUAUACGAUUCCCAUCGGUCAGAAAAAGUAACAAGUUCCAUACCUCCACUAAAAUAACAAUUACCCAUGAAAGUUUUUCUUUUUAAUUUUUAAUUCAUUCUGAUAGCAUUUGUCAUCACUUCUUUAUACUGUAUUAUAUAUUUCCGGCAGGUUUAUAGCAAAUGAUAACACAUCGAAUCAAGGAUGGGCAGCAGAGUUCCGCCCGCAUAAAACAUCAUGGUCAAUUCGUCAUAAAUUCUCAUUGGUAAAAUGUUCUGGCAGUGAUCCAUAACUCUCGCGAGAACACUUUUUAAACCUGUCGAGAACUCUAGAAAUUUUUAGAAAAAAAUCAGUUCUAUCAAUUAUAUAUUGAAUUUUCAAAAAACAAGAUGUUAAAUUCGUCAUAAGUGUGAUAUUUAUAUACAUAUGGUAUACAAAAUGUUCCUUUAAAAAACAUUUCAUUAAAACAGACAGAGAAUUCCAACAAUCGCUUGACGCGCGCAAAAGAAAAAUAAACAGAACUUUCCUUUUAAGAUUCGAUCAGUAUUAUAUUUUACAGUAUCUUUGGCAAAUUAAUUGCAGAUGAUUAAUUAAGAUGAUACCACAGCAGCGAUCAAACGGGAAUGUUUACAAAAAUAUAAGAGAGAAACAAUAUCCGCUCGACGAUAAGUGAUAAGUUUGCGUACAAACAAAAGAGCAGACUACGACAAGUGUUCGAUAUUAACGAUCGAGUCGUCGACCCAAAGUCGCAGCUAUUAUAGCUUUUCUCGAAAGGAGCUCGAUUGGCGCGAUAGAGUAGACGAGAUUGUUAAUUUCGGUAUUGGCAGGGUAUCAAUGAGGUCAGAUAUCGCGAUGCGGUCUAAACUGCAACGCGAAUGCAUCCAUGCCACGACUCGAUCGCCAUCAUCACGGUCUCGAUUAAUCGCGUCUGGUACGUACAGCUUCAUAUCAGUCGCAGCGUUGCCACGUUAUUGCGCCCGGUAAUUCAACAGAUGCUCAACCGAAGCGUCUGCCAAGGGCAGAAACGAUCGCGACCGUCGAACGAAUACGUGGCAAUUUGUUUCGGGGAGCGCAAUUUCGACAUCGCGGCGGAGAGAAUUCUCGGUUUUCGCUCUUCUGCACCGCUGAUACAACUUGCAAUUUCUGAAGUGGUCGAUUCCACACAGAGCGCGCGCGGACAACUGUGCGAACAACACGGACGUGGGCGAACGAACUCUUUAGAGGCAGACGGCGUAACGUGCGCGCGCGGCGACAGCCUCGCAUAAAUAAUCUAAUGGUUUCUUUGUUACCGCUGAGUAUAUUUAUUUCGAAUCACGUCGCGAGCCGUAAAUACGAUACGAACUUUCGCAACCCUGGAGAGCUCUCAAUGAAGGAACGCAACGUGCGUGUAUGUCUAUCAUCGCCCGCGACCCGCGACCCGCGACCUGCGACCCUUCCUCCGUGACUCUCUUCCCCUGCUUUUUUCUCUUCACUUAUCGAGCAUCUCGCGCGCGCGCGCGCGCGCGCGACGCUUUCUCACGCUGUUUCGUCACGGACGGCCGAUCCCCGUUUAGCACGUUCGCCAAUAAAUCUUGAUACGUAAAGUAUCUCGCAAUACAGUGUUACAGUUUGCACGGCGGACAUCGCGUACGACGUUAAAUCGAGUUCCAAUGCACCACUUGAGCUCGUUUAAAUUCAUCACGGGCGCGCAGAUCAAGCGAAAUUCUCGCAAACAGUCGUGUCACAUUUCGCAGAUAACGAAACGUCGGCAAGUAAUUAUCACCAUUGACUGCCAUGAACCUUCUGUGACCAUUAAAUUAACGUCAAUUAAAAUGAUAAUCAAAAAGAUCAGUAUACGCAAACAUUGUUUGUCGCGAAAUUUUAUCGCUGAUCACUGCACGAGCGACUGCAUAUCUGUUUAAAAAAUAUUAUGCUCAGUGAAAAUUCGAAUGACUGUUUCGAAGAAACUUACACUGUUAAAUUAAAGAAUCAAAUUUAAAUCAAUUCUUGAGUUCAAUGACAUUUUGUCAUUUUUAACAAAACCUGUAGCUAAAAGAAUAAUCUCUAUUCAACUCAUUUUUUUUUCUAGUCUAAAGUAAACAGCCUCUAUAUUAACGAUAUGUACCUAGUAAAUAAUAAACCAUAUUUGAAUAAAAUUUAACAUUUAUUGCGUUAAAUUCCGUUCAACUCCAUUAUUUGAGUCAAAUUAACGACAUUUUGAGGAGCAACGGCAAUCUACAGAAAUGAUAAAAAAUAAUUCAAACUGAAUAUAAUUUGAUAUUACGAGUUUAACGUAGCAGCAAUUAUUUUCGCAACGUAAAUAUACCGACGACCACAGUUGCGACGAUAUCUUUCGGACUACAUUGGAAAGCCUAUAAUAUCGGUCGUAACUUUGCCUAACUGCACCUAAACUCUGAAUCGACGGGCAUGAAUAGCGCGACGCCAUUAAACUUCAGGUAGUAAUAACAUCUGAAUGCAGUCGUCAUUGCGAUAUGCAAUCGAAUUUAGUGUCAACGUUCCUCGCACGCGAAGAAACGAGACGCACGAAGCGAAUAGAGAAACGACGCGAAUUACGCGGAUUGAAUGAAGAGCGAUACCGAAUGUGAAAAUUUUCGCUAGUUUGCGUCAUUAUAUAAUGAAUAGACCGUGAUAAAGGAUGAAUGGAAUUUACAAUAAAAGAAUCACUGAUUCACAUCUAUCACCGUAUCUGUAAACUGCCGAUUAUAGAAGGAGUCCUAUAUUCGUCCGUUAAUUCUGCAAUUUUGCCAAUCCGGUGUUUUAUGCGUCGAUUGAACUUUGACGUUGCGCAAUCUCAUUUACUUGUGUCGCGAAAUUAUCGCGGAAAUGUGAUUGAAAGACUAUUUUCACGUAAUGCGAGACGAGAUAUACAAGAGCAGACUACACAAUUAUGAAUUCGCAAUCACUUUUAGAUGUAUCGUUGCACGUUUCGACUUGAAAAAUGACACGUCGAUAAAUUAUGCCAACAUCGAUCGGCCAUACGACUCGUGAAAUCCUUUUGUACGAGGAUCAAUAAUCUCCACGUACAGACAAUAAUCGUGAAAUUUAUCCCUCCCUCCCUCCGUCGUAUGCAAAGGCAAUCUAUUCCUUUACUAGAGCGGACACGGUAUCGUUAAUCGAGCACUUUUUUUUUUUAACAACGGUUGUAUGCACCAUUAAACUAUUGUAAGCACGAAAUCGUAUCGACAUCAACGAUAGCUCAUGAUUAAAUAGAAACUCGAUAUUAUUAGGCCCAAAUGGGGCAUUCUAUGAUCGAUAAGUAACUCGCUUUUACGUAACGCGGACACACGCGAUCAACGUUGUAACAUAAACGGUCCAAAUACAAUACAAGCAUCACUAUACAGACCUUAAUCUAUUUUUAUGGACGACGCUAUUAUAACAACGCUAUUCGACACAUAGCAAUAGUAAAAUGUUACACUCGGACCUUUUCAGCGGACGUAAAUAUUAGUCAGUCGAAGCAAAAUACGGCGAUCCGCUAUAGAUUAAUCAUCAGAUUCACGAGGGAAAAAUCGGAGAGGAAAGUGAUGACAAGUACUCGUAGUACUUAACGACGGAAAUGAGUUUCCGUUCGUUCGCAGCUGUUGAAUAAAUUGAUUCUCGGUUAGUGCCUUAAGCGGCGUGCAAAAUCGCAAAGUAAAUCUGCGCGAACAAGUUUUCAAACAAAGAUUGCAAAGCGAUCAAAGUUAUAAUGAUUUGUAAAAAGAAAAGAAAAAAUAAUUUCUCUCAACGCGCGAUGAAUGCUGGCACGUUAAAUAAAGAAUGUGCCUCUCGCUGCACACAGCUUUACAUGGCUUCACGCGUCUUUACAACAAACCCGCCGUGCUUCGCCAGCGAGUCGUUACGUGUCACGACGACAGCCGGAGGCGUAACGGAGGGACGGUAGCGUUAUUUCCGCGAAGUCGGCUUCUCCUCAACGAGGAAAAGCGGAGCAGAAGAAGCGCGCAGGUAAGAAGGAGAGGAGGCUUCGCGCUCCGCGAAGCCGACAGAUCGCCUACACGAUCGUGAUCAAACCGGUUCUCUCCCUCUCCGCCUGCAGAGGGAAGCUCUCCUCCAUCCAUCGUCGCGGCUUCGCGUCGACGAUUAUCGAUUAGCACUCGUAAUAUUCAUCGAAACUCGUGCGAACGGAGAGCAAACAUUUUGUGCGUUUCAUCGAUAAAGAAAGGAAAGCGAAACACACAUGGUUCACCCCCCAUAGUGGCAUUGCGCUUAUGGUAUUCGGGGAGUAUCGUGUCCAUGGUGAUUGCCUCUCGUAGUUCCCCUUCCGAAAGAGAACAUUGUUAGGGCCCUUUCGGAUUAUAAGCUCGAUCCCGCGAUGAACGAGACGCAUCGACGCACGUUCACGGUUGCCUUGGCCAUUGUUCUCUGAACGUACUGGUGUCUUUUAGAAUAAAAUUCAGACAACACAAAUGAAACAUUUUUCACUCUCUCUCAUCGUUCUCCGCUUUCUCUUUCCGGAAGUUGUAUUCAAUCGGUAAGAGCUGCUAGAGAUUGGUAUUUAAUAUUUCUACAUUGAUUAAACAAAGCACCGAUGCUGAAAUUGGACAAUUCCCUCUUCAUGGAUUAAGACGGCUGCUCGGCUGUGCGCCCGCGUGGCGUGGGAAGGCCCGGGAAAAUUGCGUGUUGCGAUAGAGCGAGGAAAGAGAGGGUCGGGGGCUAGAAACAGAAGGGAACGAGAGAACUAGUCGUUGGACGCUCCGUUGAAGCGCGGAGUAGAGAGCCGGCCUGGACGAACCGAGUCUGGAAUCGAGGGUCUUUCACGAUGAGAGAGCGCGCCAUAACGACCGGGGCGGCGGCGGCGGCGGCGGCGGCGGCGGCGGUGGCGGCAGCAGCAGCAGCAGAAGGACAAAGGGCUGAAGGGGUAAAGGGGGAUGGCGAGGGGGAGGAGCGCCCGAGGGGUUGAGGCCCGUUACGCGCGAUGUAAUAGCCUCGCGAAAUCUCAUUUCGGAAAAACAUUUGUGAGGUCGGGACGGUUAAAAAAUUGCACGAGUCAGAGAACGUGAGGUAAAUGAGAUAUCCCGGGAUAAGCAAACGCGACGGCAGGCGGGUUUGUAAUCCUCUUGCUGCGGAGAGAAAGAACGACACUCGCGGCGCGCGAAACGCGAGUUUCCCCGCGUGUAGUAAAAGCCACGACGCGAAACGUUUGCGUUACGUCGCGCGCGCGCGCGCGUCUACGAUGAGUGCUCUUCUCGCUGACGCGACGUCGCGCGUCGACUUCCUUUGGAGCGUUAAUGCGACAAGCGUCGCGCGUGUAAAACAAUCGACGGACACGAGAGAAAAGAGAACGGAGCCAACAAAAUCGUGUCCUGCGGCGAAGGCGGGCUUUUAUCUACGUACCAUUUAAAUUUACCAUGCAAUUCACGCGCUCGCGAGAACGCGAGGACGCGAGCACGCUUGUUCACGCGGCGUCCGCUUGCUGUGCACUCUCAAUCCGCUCCGCGAAUAUCAUCGUAGAAAGUAUUGAAUGAAAUACGCGAUAGGUAUAGCUCAGGGAGAGAAUAAUUUCAUCUCGCGUAAGCGAUGCUCCGUUUCUUCGCGAUAAGGAUCGAACGUAAGCCCGGGGGACCUUUGUGUUUAACGCAAACAUCCAUUUGACGUCACGUCUGAAAAUGGUUGAGGCAUAGGUAUCGACGACGCGUAAAUAUAACGAUCGAUUGUAACGAACGAAGACUUUUCUUUUACGAGAGAAAAAAAAAUAUUUUCCUCCUAUCUUUGGAAACGCCGAGACCUGCCGAUCGCCGAUGUGCGCCGCGCCGCCGACCUACCAUACCUAACGGGAGCAUCAGUUAAGAGGAAAUGACGGAAUUGACUCGCACGACGAGUCAAAGCGGAACGCAUUUGAAUACGCGACGCGCGGGUGGCUCUCUCACUGGCGUUACACUAGAUCGUGUCCUGCCCCGUUCCAUUAAGCGGAGAGAAAUCCUCUCGGCGACGACGCGGCGGCAGUGGCGGCGCGGUGACCAACUUUCGUCGACCGGGGAUCGAAACCCCGAGAGAUAUCUUCCACUCGCCUCUCGAUCUCUCCUGAAGCGACGAGAUGCGGAGAAUCCGCUUGUGCGGUUUCGUGAUUCCUGGCGCGGAUCGGCCGUGCGCGCAGGCGCAGCGUUGCCGAAUUUUCCGUUCUGACAACAAAAAAAUAGCCGCUCCUCGUGCAUGUAUGCCCCACGUGUUUGCACGCGCGCGUGUGUGUGUGUGUGUGUGUGUGUGUGUGUUAUAACACGUUGUUACAGAGAAGGGGAGCACUCGCGAGCGCCAGGAUAGAAUGAGAAAACGAGGGGGACGUGGAGAGAGCAAGAGUGGGACUGCAUGAAAGCCACUGGAACAGGGUAGGGUAGGGUAGGGUAGGGAAGAGACGGAAGAGACAGGGGAGAUUGCCAACAGCGUAAGACUGAGAUAUAAUUUUCAGCCGAAUCGUUGUUACUAGAUAUUAGAAGAGAGAUCGAAGUUGUAAUUCCUGGUAUUAAUCUCUCGACACGUUUCACGACGCGCGACACGUUCGACUCAACAUUGGGAAAAGGUAUUUAUCCGUGUUCUUUGGCGCAGCUUUGUCGCGAAGGAAACGUUCAUAUCUGAUAGCUCACGAUGUAUCUGGCAUCAAGCUGAAACGAUGAACCGACUGCAUCUCGUGGCGACAGAAUAUUGUAGUGAUAAAGCAAAAUUUCGGUAUCGAUGCAAUCGCGGACGCGUUACUCGAACUCGUUCUUUCACGGUCUGUCAUCGAAAUUCGACGUAAGCGACUUUCGCCGGCAGAUGCGCGAUAAUAUCGCAGCGGAUCGCAAUUUCGCGCGGCAGAACCCGAAGAAACCCGCCGCCGCCGCCGCCGCCGCUUCCGUCGUCGUCGUCGUCGGUUCGCUCGCUUUUUGCGGAUACGUUCACAAAGGGAACCAACCGGACGAUCUCGAGGGCUUCCCCUCGCGAUUACGCCAAUGAGUCGACCCAGCGAGGCAGCACGGACGGACAGUCGGCUGCGCUGUUGCCAAGCGGAAACCACAAACCGGCGGCAUUUUCUUCUUCCACGAAGACACGGACAGACAACGCGUUCCGCUCGCCUACCGUGUUACCUCGUACACGUAGGAGGAGGCACUGCCACGGGCGGAAGGGGUGGGCACGGGGGUGAACCAAGGAUCGAAAUACAAUCGGCCAGAAGAUAUGAAGAAUGAGACGGAGGAUCGCCAACGCGCGCGCAAUAAGACAGCUAGGAGGAGCAACGAGCCAGACACGCAAAUAGAAGUACAUAAUCUAAGGCGAUACGGAAUUUGCGAGACUCGCGAGAGAGACAUUUUCAUUGUUUGUUUCAAAGAUUGUACUUUGUCGCGUUAUCGCGCCCGCCCUCGACAAUGUAUAAUAUCAAUGAUCCAUUUACGACUGAAAUAAUAUAGCCCGUGAUCCUGGCAAAUAGCAGCGGAUGAAAAAAUACGCUUAUUGCACGUUUCGUUAUCAGGACAAACGAUGAGAGAUAAUACAAUGAUAAUUAUUAUCAGUGAUAAUUAUGCAUCGCCGUUUUGUACUCGCUAAUGCUCUUAAUCGUACACAAUAAACGCAACCUCUUAUUAAUCUCGAUGCGUCACAAACAGAUUUACAAAACUCCAAUUACUCCCGUCACCAUCAUUUAAUAUAUAGUAUAAACGAGUCACUUUUCAUUUUCAACGUGGCUCUCAAACUUGAACGUUUUUAAAAUGCUUACAUCUUUCUCAUUAUAUGCAUGUAUGGUAAAAAAAAAUAGUAAAUCAUGAACGUUACUACGUGACAAAAGAGUAAAGUGAUUAUUUUUCUAGCUUCAGUUUACGAUUGUGUUUUAAAUUCGUACACGCAGUCUAUAGAAACGGAAAAAUAUGUUUAAUAAUCGGUAUGAAAAUAUUAUUAAGCCCUAAAAUCCGCUUCGAGCGAGAAACGUGGUACUUUCUUUUAUUUCUGGCAACACAAUUAUGUAUAGCAUGCUAAAAUUAAACAGGCCGGCGGCUAAAUAAUAGAUGUACAAAUUUAACUGGCCAUAGAUACACAGCCGAAUCAGUUGAAUGGACUGCAUUAAAGAAAGACGACUCAUUUAGAUCUCUCGUGACAUAUACACAUGCCAUUUUUAGGGGAAUUCGAAGGGGAAUUCGAAGGCAUGAUACAGCACAAAGAAUGACAAAUUAACUGAUACGUACGAUCGAGUUAGGUUUAACGAUUGUUUCAGCGAACACCCGCUUCCGUGUUGCCCGCGCGGGAACUAACGCACGCGAAACACGUAGAAUUUUAUAGGAAGUGAUUAGAAUUUCAGCUGCGUAAAACCACUACCAGACUUCCUCGUACACCCGUUUUCUACACGGACGAACGAGGUUAUAUAUUACAAAAGACACGCCAUAUAUGCCGGAUUCAUAAUGAAUUUUUUCCCCGAUACCGAACACGUUGCACAAAAAAAAAAAAAAAAAAAAAAAUCCGUCAGAACCACA
Solenopsis invicta (red fire ant) is the source of this 13576-nucleotide long non-coding RNA. RefSeq lists it as uncharacterized. The transcript has 2 exons. NCBI's taxonomy places the organism in Eukaryota, Metazoa, Arthropoda, Insecta, Hymenoptera, Formicidae. The record is from RefSeq and is a predicted model, not a curated record.